Molecule: ribosomal RNA, 453 nt
Filed under: uncultured bacterium
Lineage: Bacteria
Description: bacterial SSU rRNA
Rfam family: Bacterial small subunit ribosomal RNA
Source: RNAcentral
ACUCCUACGGGAGGCAGCAGUGGGGAAUAUUGCACAAUGGGCGCAAGCCUGAUGCAGCCAUGCCGCGUGUGUGAAGAAGGCCUUCGGGUUGUAAAGCACUUUCAGUCGUGAGGAAGGUAGUGUAGUUAAUAGCUGCAUUAUUUGUACGUUAGCGACAGAAGAAGCACCGGCUAACUCCGUGCCAGCAGCCGCGGUAAUACGGAGGGUGCGAGCGUUAAUCGGAAUUACUGGGCGUAAAGCGCAUGCAGGUGGUUUGUUAAGUCAGAUGUGAAAGCCCGGGGCUCAACCUCGGAAUAGCAUUUGAAACUGGCAGACUAGAGUACUGUAGAGGGGGUAGAAUUUCAGGUGUAGCGGUGAAAUGCGUAGAGAUCUGAAGGAAUACCGGUGGCGAAGGCGGCCCCUGGACAGAUACUGACACUCAGAUGCGAAAGCGUGGGAGCAAACAGGAUUAGA